RNAcentral lists this ribosomal RNA (785 nucleotides) under uncultured bacterium. RNAcentral describes it as "bacterial SSU rRNA". It matches the Rfam family "Bacterial small subunit ribosomal RNA", at positions 28 to 807 of the family's 1533-position model. The record is from RNAcentral.
GAUGAACGCUAGCUACAGGCUUAACACAUGCAAGUCGAGGGGCAGCAUGACCUAGCAAUAGGUUGAUGGCGACCGGCGCACGGGUGAGUAACACGUAUCCAACCUACCGGUUAUUCCGGGAUAGCCUUUCGAAAGAAAGAUUAAUACCGGAUAGUAUAACGAGAAGGCAUCUUCUUGUUAUUAAAGAAUUUCGAUAACCGAUGGGGAUGCGUUCCAUUAGUUUGUUGGCGGGGUAACGGCCCACCAAGACAUCGAUGGAUAGGGGUUCUGAGAGGAAGGUCCCCCACAUUGGAACUGAGACACGGUCCAAACUCCUACGGGAGGCAGCAGUGAGGAAUAUUGGUCAAUGGACGAGAGUCUGAACCAGCCAAGUAGCGUGAAGGAUGACUGCCCUAUGGGUUGUAAACUUCUUUUAUAUGGGAAUAAAGUGAGCCACGUGUGGCUUUUUGUAUGUACCAUACGAAUAAGGAUCGGCUAACUCCGUGCCAGCAGCCGCGGUAAUACGGAGGAUCCGAGCGUUAUCCGGAUUUAUUGGGUUUAAAGGGAGCGUAGGCGGACUAUUAAGUCAGCUGUGAAAGUUUGCGGCUCAACCGUAAAAUUGCAGUUGAUACUGGUCGUCUUGAGUGCAGUAGAGGUAGGCGGAAUUCGUGGUGUAGCGGUGAAAUGCUUAGAUAUCACGAAGAACUCCGAUUGCGAAGGCAGCUUACUGGACUGUAACUGACGCUGAUGCUCGAAAGUGUGGGUAUCAAACAGGAUUAGAUACCCUGGUAGUCCACACAGUAACC